This 558-nucleotide unclassified non-coding RNA is filed under the name Trypanosoma kuseli. Lineage: Eukaryota; Euglenozoa; Kinetoplastea; Trypanosomatida; Trypanosomatidae. The record is from RNAcentral.
UUUCGUAUAUUCACUCUAAUAUACAUUAUAUAUAUAUAUGUAUAUAUAUAUAUACACAUAUUUAGCCAUACACUGUUAUGGUGUGGUAUCUUCUCUGUACAUAUGCGCUUGCUUCUGAAAAAGAGCUUAUGUGUGUGUAUGCAAAAAACAACAACACACACCAUACACAAAUGAUGGUGACCUCCUUUUGUGUUGUGUGUGGUGGUGAAGAGGUAGGGUGUGUGUGUGUGUGUGUCAAGCACAGCAGCAACACGCAGCGCGCGCGCCCCCUCUCCUUCACUCUCAGUCAUUUUGUUAUCUUGUACUGUGUUUUACGUGUACGUUUUAGGGAAAAGUAGAGAAUGGCGUCACAUAUAUAUACAUAUAUAUAUAUAUACGCGUGUGUAUGUGUGUGGCCCCCGUCUCACACGAAAGAGAAUUUUCUCUUUCCUUCUCAGUUGUGUCGGGGGGGAUUCUUCGUGGUUCUUUCAUUGCAGCACACAGAGGGGGGGGAGCGCACCCCGAUCUCCCUCGGGACGACAGAGGGAAGUUUCUUCUUGUUCAAAAAAAUACUAAUUC